UACUAGAGUAGCACUCGCAUAUCAAUAAGCGGAGGAAAAGAAACUAACAAGGAUUCCCCUAGUAACGGCGAGUGAAGCGGGAAGAGCUCAAAUUUGAAAUCUUAAAGGGUUUCCCUUUACGAAUUGUAGUUUAAAGAAGUGUUUUCUGUUGAGGUUUUGGUAAAAGUUCUUUGGAAUAGGACAUCAUAGAGGGUGAGAAUCCCGUAUUUGACCUUUACUUUCAACUUUGUGAUACACUUUCAAAGAGUCGGAUUGUUUGGGAAUGCAGUCCAAAAUGGGUGGUAAAUUUCAUCUAAAGCUAAAUAUUGGCGAGAGACCGAUAGCGAACAAGUACCGUGAGGGAAAGAUGAAAAGAACUUUGAAAAGAGAGUUAAACAGUACGUGAAAUUGUCAAAAGGGAAGCGUUUGACACCAGUGUUGUUUUUCUGAAAAUCAAUUAAAGAACUGUUUAUGCUAAGCUGUUUAGACUUUAUCAGCUAACUGUUUAGUUUUGAGCUUUUCUUUAAUGCACUUUUCAGUUAACAAGUCAACAUCAAUUUCUUUUGCUGUAAAAAAGCUUGAGGAAGGUGGCUUGAGAUUCGUCUUAAGUGUUUAUAGCCUCUUGCCUAUGCAGUCGGAGAGAUUGAGGUCUGCAGCGUAGAUCCUUCGGGGCUAAAUGCAUUUGUGCUAAGUUAUAGCAUUUUAUAGACAACUUGUUGACUAUGAUUUGUCUUGUAGCUUACUCGCUUAUGUUAUUUUACCUACGCUUAGGAUGUUGAUCUACAGAGCGAGAGU
Molecule: ribosomal RNA, 774 nt
Filed under: uncultured Neocallimastigales
Lineage: Eukaryota; Fungi; Neocallimastigomycota; Neocallimastigomycetes; Neocallimastigales
Description: partial large subunit ribosomal RNA
Rfam family: Eukaryotic large subunit ribosomal RNA
Source: RNAcentral